GACACUAGCAAUUCCUACAAAGCCAGCAUCGACUUUGCACCAAAAAGUUGUCCUUCUGAAAAGAUAGCACCAACCAUGCACCAAAAGCAAUUAAAAAAUUCCACCCUAACAGUACGACUCCAUCGAUCUGCUACAAAAUUACCAGGGCAGAUUGCACGACCGCAUCGACCUCCGACAAAAGUCUGAAGACCGGACAACGUGCAUCCACCGAUGUCUACUCCUGGAUUCAACUCAAGAUGAAGUCCGAAGCUGAGAGACUUCUUCUCCAUCUAUACAAAGAAGCCAAGACCUGAGAAGAGGGAGACUCCUCUCCUCCGGAGCUAAAGACAAACAUUAGUUCUUUCUGAUUCAAGUCUCAAUAUCCUUCUAAUUCUUGUAUUCUAAUAUAGUCCAAUUAUCAAAAAUCAAAAGUCAAUUUUGUAUACCUAUUUUGUGUCUAAAGUUCAUCUUGCAGCCUAUCCAGUAGAGGUUUGCAAGGAUGAUGGUUGUAAUUCCUUUCUUAUCAAUAAUAUAUAAGUUUCAUUUCUUCAAAUUUUAACUUGUUCUCUUGUUUGAAUGUUGCUUAUGACAAUGGUACUAAAGCAAUUUGUUCUCAAAAUUGUGAUUGUAAGAUUACUCGAUCUAGCUCCAAAUUAUUUUUACUAUUUUAUCUCUUUCAAAAUGAUAUAAUUCUUCAUCUUC
RNAcentral lists this long non-coding RNA (681 nucleotides) under Elaeis guineensis (African oil palm). RNAcentral describes it as "long non-coding RNA (EGUI_LNC028750)". Lineage: Eukaryota; Viridiplantae; Streptophyta; Magnoliopsida; Arecales; Arecaceae. The record is from RNAcentral.